UUUGAAUGUCGGCAACGUUUC
This 21-nucleotide non-coding RNA is filed under the name Caenorhabditis elegans. The record is from RNAcentral. Lineage: Eukaryota; Metazoa; Nematoda; Chromadorea; Rhabditida; Rhabditidae.